CCCACGAUCCCGUCGCGCUGCCCACCGGCGUCCUCGUCAUCGUCGUCGACGCCGCCGCCACCGCCACCGAUCCGCGGCAGCGACCAACCAUCUCCCAAGUCGGCGGCAGGAACCCUACCUCAUCGACUUCAGCGCGUGCGGCGGCGGCCAGUGUUUGAUCGAGGUCCUGAUCGAACUCCCAUUAAGAGACCUCGCUCCUCAUCGCAAUUUUUUCUCCUUCUGACGCAGCGGACGCAGCGAUACGGCGGCCGAUAGCACCACAGACCUCUAAAUCAUGGUGCUACGGCACGGGUAAUCGAUGGCAUCGAACGAUGGCCAAAACGUGAGGUGCUCUGCGCUCCAUCAACUCCGGGAUGCCGCAGUCGGCUACUUCGGCAGAGCAUUGCCCGCCUUCGGCAACAUCCUCGUUGAGGAGGGUGCCACCGCGCUCUGCAGAUUGCCUUCGGCAGAGCAUUGCCCACCCAGGUCUUUCUCUCUCCUCUGCAGAUUGCCAAUGCUCAAGGCAUGUUGUGGCUUGUGAAUUUGAUCCCGACGGGUAAUCAAAUGGAUUGCUCAUAACAUUAACUAGCAUCUCAUACUAUGCAUAGAUCGGAUCACUGGCUUCUAACUGAACUCUGUGCUCUGUUGCUGUAUCACAUAUUAAUAAAAAUUCAAAGGUCUGAGUAUUCAUUUUAUUUCCGGAUAUGCAGCUGGUCUUAAAAGGAGAAUCAAUACACCAAAGUGCUACGAGAUCAUUAUUAAAAGAUAUUGAUAUGAAUCUGGAUUCUUGAACUAUAAGAUGUGGAUGCUGAAUUUCCUAUCAGUAAUGUUUUAUUUUGAAGUAUCAGUAAAGAGCACUGUACCAUUAUUUGAUUCCUGUUAGGUUGAACGUUUUUAAAAUAUCGGUAGAGAGUCUGUCAAUCAGUAGGAUUCUUUUUCAUCCCAAAGCAUUCAUUUCUUUCUGAAUAGUAGUCAUGCGAUGGAAGUAGAAGCAAUACUAUUUGAUUUAUUUUGGUUAUUAAUAGUACUAUAUGGAUAGAGACCACAUUUACAAUCUGACAGCAUGUUUUUACCUCAAUGAUCUAAGCAAGUUCAAUGUUUAGAACCUGAUUAAACUAGCCAUUGCUAACUCCUUAGGCAAAAUUAUUAGUAUGAUAGACAUACCAGUAUGCUUGAUCACUUUCAGUUUUCAGUAUGGUAUAUAUAUUCUGAUCUGGGUAUCUGACAUACCGCAUCUUCAAGAUUUGAUAACAAUGGAGGAUAAGGACGCCUUGCUUUGCGGAUAAGCUUGUGUUGCUGCCUAGGUACGUGAGGCUUUGAUGCAAAUUGACAUUUUUUAAGUAUGUUUCUUUGUCCUUUUUUUUCCAUUUGCCUCAUUGCUGACUGCAUUCAUGUGAAGCUUAAUUGACAUUUGCAUAGCUUAAUUGUAAUUGAUCAAAGAAGUUGCAACUGAUCAUUUUGCAUAGGAACCAUAUAAAUGGUUGUCCUGUAAAAGCUUCAUUACACUAGAAGAUUCUAGAGGGUUGGAGAAAUGCUGGAGCUCUGUAUGCUACCCCUCCUUAAGGAACUCUAUUCUUGUGAUAAUUUUACAAACAGUGAAGUUCAGUUCAAAUUUCAGAAAACCUUUUUGAAACAUCGUUAUCUGUUGUCACAUUGGUUUGGUCUCUCAGGAACAAGAACAUUUUCCUUAAUAUAUUCUCUCUUGAAUUAAGUCUGCAAAUGUGCAUAAUGGAGCCACACCGUUAGCUGUUGUCACAUUAUGAUGUUCAAGAAGGCGCCCUGCAAACUGUGAAGUUACGGAUCAAGUACAGGGUUGAUGUCAAUGUUUCUGAUGAUGCAGGUUGGUACCAUUUUCAGAUCAUCCCAAUACUUUCCAGGGACACAUGAAUUUCUCAUAAACAUAUUUCCUCUCAUGCACAGUAUUUUGCCAUCACAGUAUCGUGUACUAUCUGUCAUCUGCUUUCCAAUUCGUUUGUCAAUUCAGAGCUUGUGAGAUUGUCGCUUGUCAAUGGUGUGGAUAGAACAAGAACAACUAAAGUUUGCCCCUAUGGUUUGCUGAUGAGCAAUAUAUACCAAAAAAAAUCUGUUGCCUAUAAUACAUUGCGCUGUCAUUUUAGAUACACUUUAUGUGGUUUCACAAAACAAAUUGAUUGAGUGGCUUUAGAAGUCAUGAUGUAAAUGAUUUGGUUCUUCGGAUUGUCAUUGUCACACAGGAUGUGUACACCUGACUAUAAUCAAUGUGUUCCUAUCAGCAAUGUCAGUGAAACGGUAAGUAUUUUAGGAGUUUGGUGUUUCUUCUUGCAGCAAUUUCUGUUUGGUAUUAUCACCUAGCAAUACUGAUUUACGGUCUGACACAAUGUAUUCUGCUUUGGCAGGACCCAUCCUCCUUGGACCCAUGCUGCCCAUCCAAAUACACAAUCUGCUUUGAUCUGUUUAAUUUAAAAACUACUAUGUAUAUGAUUGUGUGUGGAUACUAAUAGACCUUAAAUGCCAUGCCAUAUGUGUUCUGAUAA
Long non-coding RNA from Panicum virgatum (switchgrass), 2492 nucleotides. RefSeq lists it as uncharacterized. The record is from RefSeq and is a predicted model, not a curated record. Lineage: Eukaryota; Viridiplantae; Streptophyta; Magnoliopsida; Poales; Poaceae. The transcript has 2 exons.